Molecule: ribosomal RNA, 405 nt
Filed under: uncultured bacterium
Lineage: Bacteria
Description: partial 16S ribosomal RNA
Rfam family: Bacterial small subunit ribosomal RNA
Source: RNAcentral
AAUAUUGCACAAUGGGGGAAACCCUGAUGCAGCGACGCAGCGUGCGGGAUGACGGCCUUCGGGUUGUAAACCGCUUUCAGCAGGGAAGAAGCCCUUCGCGGUGACGGUACCUGCAGCAGAAGUACCGGCUGACUACGUCGCCGCAGCCGGGGUAAUACGUAGGGUACAAGCGUUGUCCGGAAUUAUUGGGCGUGAAGACCUCGUAGGUGGAUGGUCACGUCUGCUGUGGGAACGCAACGCUUAACGUUGCGCGUGCAGUGGGUACGGGCUGACUAGAGUGCAGUAGGGGAGUCUGGAAUUCCUGGUGUAGCGGUGAAAUGCGCAGAUAUCAGGAGGAACACCGGUGGCGAAGGCGGGACUCUGGGCUGUAACUGACACUGAGGAGCGAAAGCAUGGGGAGCGAAC